AUGGAUGUCCAGUUGUCCAUCAGCUUCCUGAAGGACAGACUGGGUGGGGCCAUUGAGGAGGCAGUGCGUACAGCAGUGGAGUCUGUGCUGUGUGAGACUGUGCGUCUGUUAACCGGGCUCCAAGGGGACCAGCAGCAGGGACUCUCCUCAUUGACCCAGAGGGACCAGGACACCCUGGGACUGAAGCAGAGGUUAGAGGCCCCCAGUGGGGGUGACUGGAGGGUGCAGGCUGGGUCUUCAGAGGCAUUCUGUAACACAGGACCGAGGGGGGGUGGUGGGCGUGGCAACAUUAAGAAUCCAAUGGGUCAGACCACUUGCUCAACCUCUCAAGCAUCACAAAGGACCACCGUGGAGCCCCAUCCCCAGGAGGUGGUAGAGGACUGCGCUGGACUGCCUGACCCAUUUGACCUUGUGUCGGCUGGGCCAGUGAUGGUGGACUUUGAGGAGGGUCAGGGCAUGGGGAUCCCAGAGGAGUGGGAGCUGAUGAACAGAGUGUACAAGACGGAGCACAAUGAAGACAUGGCCCUUAUUGACGAGGGCGGUGCCACUCACUUUGCAGAUGACCACAGGCUGCAUGAAGGAGACCUGAGGACUGUGGCUGUGUCCCUGGAGGGAGAGAUGGCUGCCAAGCCCCAGGAUGCAUUGCACCCCUGCUUCAGCCCAGCCAACAUCAAAACAGAGCGGCCUGAUAUGGAGAGAUGCUGCAUGGCUGAAGAGGCCCUUGCUCUGCCUCUGCCUCAUCCUGCCAAUAGUGGUGUGGAGGCCGGUGAGUUUGGGCAGGAGCAGGUGGAGGCUGGUCCACAGGACUUUGUAGGUCGCCUGCGCCUGUGGCUGGAGCAGCUGUGUCCUGAGGUGGUGCGGGAGUACGAGAGGGAGGGCUGUCUGUGUGAGCUGUCCCGCAGAAAGCUCAUAAAGUUCUCUGUGUCCUUCAUCGUGGAGGAGUUUGGAUUCUACCCUACCUCUGCUCAGAAGACCAUGCUGGCAGAGCACAUAGUGGAACUCUUCCCAGGACUCAGACUCUGUGCACCCUCUGCUGGCAUCAAUGGCAUCGAACACUUGUACGACCCUUUGUCCCGUACGGGUUACAUUGAGACGCGCCUGCGCAACUCUCGACGCACCCUUGAAGACCACAAGAAGAAGUAUGUGCUGAAGAGGCGUCGGCCAGAGCCAGGUCUGUUGGACCCCGCUGGACCUCGAUCGGGACCUGGGCUCCUGGAGAGCCAGUCCAGUGAGGAGACGCAGAGGUGGGUGGAGCUGAUGAAGAAAACCAGGCCCCUGACCAGGAAUCUGCCUGCAAUCCACGGUGCUAUGGACCUCACAUUCAACGCACGCAGGAGGUGGAUCAGCAACACACGGCCUAGUAUGAGGGCUGUGUUGGCCGAGUACCCACGUUUUCUUGACGUACCCGCCACGAUUGACCUGGAGUUUGAGAGGAUGUUCCCAGGUAAAGGCCACUCUUUCCUGGCCCAGUGGUCGUCUUUCGUGUUGCCCAGGUUGUACCAGAUCGCAGAGUGCGAAAAACACCCAGACAUCUCAGCACUUCUCCAACUGGCUGCCACACAGCAAGGAGACUCCUACACCCUGACUAUGCUGAAGAUCCUGAUCUAUGUACUACCACCAACAAACACCAGUAGAGCCUCCUUACCCUCCAGGAGCAGUGUCAGGCAGGCCAUUCGGUAUCUGGUGGACAUUGUACCGAUGGACACCGAGGUGUCCUCCUUAUUCUGUGACCCUACCUCCUUGGAGGGCCCAGAGUCUGCCUCCCAUGCUCAGCCCUACAUAGUGAGCGUGGGGCCCCUGGAGGCCCCUGGCCGGCAGCUUUGCAUCGUGUUCCCCGUUGAUAGGAUGGCAAUCCCCCUGCCUCAGGAGGGGCUGAGCAAUGCACUGGACAAGCUUUUCAAGCUUCUGCGUGUGUUUGAACAGGGGUACCCAGAUCAGCUAGCCUCCCUGUAUAGCUUCCUUGAGCACCUCUAUGGGCUGGAGAUGACCCCACGAGAUAACCAUGACUCCCCCAGUGGCAAGGGAUCAAAAGUGCUUGAACUUUUAUCACGGCUCCACAUGCCCUCCUGA
Oncorhynchus kisutch (coho salmon) is the source of this 2070-nucleotide long non-coding RNA. The record is from Ensembl. NCBI's taxonomy places the organism in Eukaryota, Metazoa, Chordata, Actinopteri, Salmoniformes, Salmonidae.